AUGGCCUACCAAGGCGACGAUCCGUAGCUGGUCUGAGAGGAUGAUCAGCCACACUGGGACUGAGACACGGCCCAGACUCCUACGGGAGGCAGCAGUGGGGAAUAUUGGACAAUGGGCGAAAGCCUGAUCCAGCCAUGCCGCGUGUGUGAAGAAGGCUUUCGGGUUGUAAAGCACUUUCAGUGGGGAAGAAAGCCUGUCGGCUAAUACCCGGCAGGAACGACAUCACCCACAGAAGAAGCACCGGCUAACUCCGUGCCAGCAGCCGCGGUAAUACGGAGGGUGCGAGCGUUAAUCGGAAUUACUGGGCGUAAAGCGCGCGUAGGCGGCGUGAUAAGCCGGUUGUGAAAGCCCCGGGCUCAACCUGGGAACGGCAUCCGGAACUGUCAGGCUAGAGUGCAGGAGAGGAAGGUAGAAUUCCCGGUGUAGCGGUGAAAUGCGUAGAGAUCGGGAGGAAUACCAGUGGCGAAGGCGGCCUUCUGGACUGACACUGACGCUGAGGUGCGAAAGCGUGGGUAGCAAACAGGAUUAGAUACCCUGGUAGUCCACGCCGUAAACGAUGUAUGGCCUACCAAGGCGACGAUCCGUAGCUGGUCUGAGAGGAUGAUCAGCCACACUGGGACUGAGACACGGCCCAGACUCCUACGGGAGGCAGCAGUGGGGAAUAUUGGACAAUGGGCGAAAGCCUGAUCCAGCCAUGCCGCGUGUGUGAAGAAGGCUUUCGGGUUGUAAAGCACUUUCAGUGGGGAAGAAAGCCUGUCGGCUAAUACCCGGCAGGAACGACAUCACCCACAGAAGAAGCACCGGCUAACUCCGUGCCAGCAGCCGCGGUAAUACGGAGGGUGCGAGCGUUAAUCGGAAUUACUGGGCGUAAAGCGCGCGUAGGCGGCGUGAUAAGCCGGUUGUGAAAGCCCCGGGCUCAACCUGGGAACGGCAUCCGGAACUGUCAGGCUAGAGUGCAGGAGAGGAAGGUAGAAUUCCCGGUGUAGCGGUGAAAUGCGUAGAGAUCGGGAGGAAUACCAGUGGCGAAGGCGGCCUUCUGGACUGACACUGACGCUGAGGUGCGAAAGCGUGGGUAGCAAACAGGAUUAGAUACCCUGGUAGUCCACGCCGUAAACGAUGU
Molecule: ribosomal RNA, 1120 nt
Filed under: Halomonas sp. SAY-5
Lineage: Bacteria; Pseudomonadati; Pseudomonadota; Gammaproteobacteria; Oceanospirillales; Halomonadaceae
Description: bacterial SSU rRNA
Rfam family: Bacterial small subunit ribosomal RNA (bases 1-615)
Source: RNAcentral